UAUAUAAUUAAAGUGGUGUGUUAUUCUAGUUAUCAUUAUGAAUUGAGAGGACGGGGCUAAAAAUCCGUUGAAAGAGCAUAUCGAUGAAGUUCAUUAGGUGUAGCUUGUGACGCCCAGUCGUGGGCUUACCUAGUGAGUAAGGUUUAAGGGCAAGCUGUAAUGGCAUAUAGUUGAUUACCCUUUCACCAUGGAGGCAUGUAAUUUAUGCGAAAGCAAAAUAUACAUGUAUAACCUGCAAGGCUGCGAGAAUGAAAAGUCGUAGUACACAGUGUAGCUUUCCUUGAGUGGUAUUGGCGGAUAUUACAUUGUAAUUGAAAUCUUUACUGCAAAAGAGGAUAACCUUUUCAAGGAUGGUAUUUGUGAAAAACUCUAGAGCAUUCCUUAUGGAGACAUUUUGAAGAUUGAAGUGUGGACUAAGUGGCAAUCUAGACUUUUGAUUGGUGACAACAAAAAGUUAUUUUUAAAUGGAAAUGGCUAAGAUGGCGAUAUCUUAGUAGAUAAUUGGGAAAACCUUCUAGACCUAAGCCAUAAAAUUUAUUCGAAAUGUUACCACUUUCAUAUAUAAA
RNAcentral lists this small RNA (566 nucleotides) under human gut metagenome. The record is from RNAcentral.